RNAcentral lists this ribosomal RNA (253 nucleotides) under uncultured bacterium. RNAcentral's name for it is "partial 16S ribosomal RNA". It matches the Rfam family "Bacterial small subunit ribosomal RNA", at positions 524 to 776 of the family's 1533-position model. The record is from RNAcentral.
UACGAAGGGAGCGAGCGUUGUUCGGAAUCACUGGGCUUAAAGCGUGUGUAGGUGGUCAUGUAAGUAAGAAGUGAAAGCCCCGGGCUUAACCUGGGAAUUGCUUUUUAGACUGCAUGGCUAGAGUUCUGGAGAGGUUAGGAGAAUUCCGAGUGUAGAGGUGAAAUUCGCAGAUAUUCGGAGGAAUACCAGUGGCGAAGGCGCCUAACUGGACAGAUACUGACACUGAAACACGAAAGCGUGGGUAGCAAACAGG